UACGUAGGGUGCAAGCGUUAAUCGGAAUUACUGGGCGUAAAGCGUGCGCAGGCGGUUUUGUAAGUCUGACGUGAAAGCCCCGGGCUCAACCUGGGAAUGGCGGUUGAAACUGGCGAACUUGAAUCUGGCAGAGGGGGGUGGAAUUCCACGUGUAGCAGUGAAAUGCGUAGAGAUGUGGAGGAACACCGAUGGCGAAGGCAGCCCCCUGGGCUAAGAUUGACGCUCAGGCACGAAAGCGUGGGGAGCAAACAGG
RNAcentral lists this ribosomal RNA (253 nucleotides) under uncultured bacterium. Its description in RNAcentral is "partial 16S ribosomal RNA". It matches the Rfam family "Bacterial small subunit ribosomal RNA", at positions 524 to 776 of the family's 1533-position model. The record is from RNAcentral.